AUUAUAAGGACAGAAAACAGCACAGUGGUUGCCAGGGGUUGUGUCCCCUGAGGGCCACGCGGGGGAGGUUGUGGGGUGAUGCAACUGCCCUGCGUGGUCCUUCAGGGGGUAUGUGCUCCACACACGUGUGGCCCCACAGCACACCACAAAGAGUGACCAUGGCUAUGACAAAGUCAAGAACAGCUGGGAUGCGGGCUCCCGGGCUGGUGCAUGCCGAAGGGAGUCUGGUCUUAGAUGGAGGGCAACCCCCCGAAGAGUGGACAGAAAGGAGCUGACCUGGCAACUGUGCAAAGCAGUGCUUUUCCUAAACACCAUAAAGAAAGGAUGGCUCUACACAGCCGCUGGACUCGGGCUGCUAAGUCUACUUCCCACGGUGGCAUGGGUUAGCAGCCUGCACCGGCAUGUCCACUAGGACCGAGCAGGUAAACACACUGGGGAAGGGCUGGGCACGGCGGGGCCAGGGUGAACGGUUUACAUCCCACUCGCAGACAGACACGAGGCGCCCACACGUCCGCACCUGCCGGGUAGCGUGCAGACCCGUGUUCCCAGCUCUGCCUCUGAGAGGCCUGGGAGCACGUCACACCCCGGGGCAGCCAGCGUGCUUCCUGCCCAGAUCUUGGUUUUUAAAUACCACCUUCAACGAGAGGAACCAGGACUCCUCAGAGAAACGCCUGAUACUAGGGUGGAAGCUGAGAAAAUACACGAAGAGCCUUGAGUGCCCUGAGUCCCAGGAAGUGAGGAACUGCUUAAAGGAAAGUAUUGGGUAACAUAGAGAAUAAUGCAGUCCAAACGUGACUACAGACACAUCUGGCCACAAAUCGCUUGUGUAGCGGUUCUUCAGCAUGAGUCUGCACUCUUAUUGCUGGGAAGGCAGGGUAGCUGGGUGGGCCAGGCUGUCAAGCCCCUUUGCCUCCCCCAGACCACCCCCAAUACGCUGCUGAGGUUAGAGGCUGGGACGUUCAGCGCGAAACCUAACAAUACUGUGCUGAGAAGAGACGUGUCCUGCCCGAGCACAUGCAGUUUCCAGGAUUCCUUGUUUCUGUGCUGGAGGCGAGAGAGCUGACCCUCAACUUAGUUUUUCCUUUUUUGCCACAGGACUUGUACUUCAAGGUGAUAUUUCCACAUUUGCCUAAAGGUCAAAAAUCUUCCCUGGCAUCCGAGGCCUUUGACUGCUGCUGCCCAUGUCCCUGGGUGUGUGCCUGACUGUGGCCCCCGGAGCACCUGCCUGGGGUGGUGUGGCCUUUGUCUCAGGCUCAUUCAUGUGUCUGUGGCCGUGUCUGGGCCAGGCUCACAGCUGAGCCAAGGUCCCUGAGACAGAGGCCAAGGGGCUGAGAGCACUGUGCAGGGGGCAGCGGAGCUGGGGUCCAGUGCUCACCUCGCCAGGCCCCUGCCAGGCACUCACAGCUGCUCUGUUCAUAACCCUUGUUACGCAGGAAUUAUUCACUGGACACUUGUUAGAAAAGGCAAGAAAGACUUUACUUAAGACUGGCAAUUGUGGAGAGAAACUGAAUUCAACCCCUCAUACAAUAGGGGCGAGUGAAGGGUUCUAGCCACCGGCCAGGUGAGGGUGGGGAUGGAAGUUAUGAAGAGGAAUUGGUUGAGUGUCGAGGGGGAUUCCUUGCUAAGACUGAACUCAGCAGCCAAGGAUGAGGCCUGGAGGAGGAGAGGGUGGCAGAGGGGCCUGGUGGGAGUUUGCCUCUGGAGGGAGUCUGCUACCCCCACCACUGCCCCUACCCCAGGGAAUAGAUCCAGGAACCUGCCAAGGAGAGGACACACUGUGGCUUAAAGUCAAAGCCGGAGACUGACAGGAAGUCUAAUGCCCUAAACUCAGAAGGUGUGUCUCCUCCCGGGGUGUAUCUGCCCCUCAGCGCUGGUUUCCCUUCAUCCCAGUCCCUCCCUCCCUCCCUCCCUCCCUCUCUCUCUCUCUCUCUGAUGCUCUCCCGAGCUGUGAGCGGCUGCCUUCUGACCCCUUCUCCAUGGUCGUGUCCUCUGUCUGCCUCUCCUUCUGUUUCCACCACAGAAUGUGCACCGUGGGUCCCACUCUGCACCCUGACUGACCACAGACCAGAGCAGGUCUGCUGAUUAGGUGGACUGCGUUGGACUGCACACCUGUGUGCCUGCUUCCUUCUAAAGGGCCUUGCGGUCGGGCGCGGGGAGGCCGCUGUCUGGCGCACCGCAGUCCGCAGGAGCGGAGCGUCUGCCGGCACCCCUGACCUGGAAGGCAAGCUUCUGCAUCCCGCACAGUGGAAGGGAGCGGGUGGCGGCAGUUACCAUGGAGAUUCCGGCCUGCGGCCCUGAUUGGCUGAGACGCCUCCGGCACCGCCCCCUUGGCCCGCGGGAUGGGUGACGGAGGCAGAGAUUUCCCGGGGACUUCUGGGAAAACGGAGGUCCCUGAGGACGAAGGCGGAAGCGGCUCGGCCCGAGGCAUUCUGGGAGGCGCAGUCAGCCGCAGUCGCGGGAGGGCUGUGUGGGGCUCGGCUACCCGUGAGAUUUGAAGACCAGAGCAGAUACCAAAGAGAAGACCAUUAGAAUAUACUGUUGAGUGAGCAGCUCCUUCACUAUCAUCGUGGAAAGGCUCAGAAGGGAUGUGUCCAAAGGAUAUUUAUUUGAAGAAACCUGUGAAUAUGAGGCCAAGGUAGUAAAGCAAAAGGAGAAAUCUAUAGGCAAAAUUUCAAAAAAAAUCUCUUGCCCAAACCACUGGUUUUCUGCCAAUAAUAGUUGCCCAUGAAGAAAUAUCUUUUGAGGAAAAUGGGCAUACUUUUAAUGAUUUUGAGAGAAAUUUUGAUCUAAGAUCUAAAAUUAUUCCACUGCAUGUUACUCCUUCAGAAGAACUACAAAAAUUUGAUCCAUUUGGGAAACGUGUCAAAUGGAACCUAUCUCCAAUUAAAAGUCAAAGAACUUUUAAAAAGAAAACUCAUAAUUGUAGUGAAUGUGGAAAAAAUUUCAGUGACCGUUCAGACUUCCUUUGUCAUGAGAGAAUUCAUACUGGUGAGAAACCUUGUAAGUGUGAUGACUGUGGAAAAGCAUUUAGCCAGAGUUCAUCUCUUACUGAACAUCAGAGAACUCAUACUGGAGGAAAACCCUAUAAAUGUAAAGUUUAUAGAAAAGCAUUCACUGUAAAUUCAUCUCUUGUGCAACAUCAGAGAAUUCAUACUGGGGAGAAACCUUAUAAAUGUCAUGAAUGUGGAAAAGCCUUCAGUGACUGCUCAUCCUUUAUUCAACAUCAAAGAAUUCACAGUGGAGAGAAUUCAAGCCGGAGUGAAACCCUGUAAAUGUAAUGAUUGUGGGAAGGCAUUCAGACGAAGUACACACUGUACCCAGCACCAGAGAACUCAUACUGGGGAAAAGCCUUACAAAUGUAACGAGUGUGGAAAACAUUCAGUGCCCACUCAACGUUUAUACAACACCAAAGGAUUCACUCUGGAGAAAAACCCAUGUAGUUAAUGUGGGAAAACUCAUCCCUUACUAAACACCAUUGAAUUCAUACUGGAGAGAAACCUUAUGAAUGUAAUGAACGUGGUAAAACUUUUAGCCCCAGCACUCAUCUUACUCAGCGUCAGAGACUCCAUACUGGAGAGAAACCCUGUAAAUGUGAUAAAUGUGGAAAAGCA
This is a long non-coding RNA of Camelus dromedarius (Arabian camel), 3611 nucleotides long. RefSeq lists it as uncharacterized. The record is from RefSeq and is a predicted model, not a curated record. The transcript is spliced from 3 exons. Lineage: Eukaryota; Metazoa; Chordata; Mammalia; Artiodactyla; Camelidae.